CCCAGAGGGUUCUGCAGCAGG
This 21-nucleotide unclassified non-coding RNA is filed under the name Mus musculus (house mouse). RNAcentral describes it as "oocyte_clustered_small_RNA13504". Lineage: Eukaryota; Metazoa; Chordata; Mammalia; Rodentia; Muridae. The record is from RNAcentral.